This 751-nucleotide ribosomal RNA is filed under the name uncultured archaeon. Its description in RNAcentral is "bacterial SSU rRNA". It matches the Rfam family "Archaeal small subunit ribosomal RNA", at positions 93 to 836 of the family's 1478-position model. The record is from RNAcentral.
GUAACACGUGGGCAAUCUGCCUUCAGGUCUGCUUAAUCCCGGGAAACUGGGGAUAAUGGCGGAUAGGCAAUUGCAACUGGAAGGUGCUUUUGCUUAAUGCUACUUUUUCCAAAAAAGAUGCGCCUGAGGAUGAGCCUGCGGCGGAUUAGGUUGUUGGCGGGGUAAAUGCCCACCAAGCCUUUGAUCCGUACGGGCCUUGAAAGAGGUAGCCCGGAGAAGGACACUGAGAUAAGGGUCCUAGCCCUACGGGGUGCAGCAGUCGCGAAAACUUUACAAUGCGCGAAAGCGUGAUAGGGGGAUUUCGAGUGCUCUCUCUGAGAGCUUUUGCUAAACCUAAACAGUUUGGCGAAUAAGUGGGGGGCAAGAUACGUGCCAGCCGCCGCGGUAACACGUGCUCCGCGAGUUGUAUCCGCUUACAUUGGGCCUAAAACGUCUGUAGCCAGUUCAACAAGUCUUUGGUGAAAUCAUUGCGCUUAACGUAAUGAAUUGCCAAAGAAACUGUUGGACUCGAGGCCGGGAGACGCCAAGGGAAUUUCCGGGGUAGCGGUGAAAUGCUAUGAUCCUGGAAAGACCCCCAGUAGCGAAGGCGCUUGGCGAGAACGGGCCUGACGGUGAGAGACGAAAGCUGGGGGAGCGACCCGGAUUAGAUACCCGGUUAGUCCCAGCCGUAAACGAUGUGGACUAGGUGUCCUCGCAUCCAAGAGAUUCGGGGGUGCCGAAGGGAAGCCAUUAAGUCCACUGCCUGGGAAGU